AAAAUCUGAGUGUCAAUAGGGGCAGCUGCGUCUGCUUUCUUCACUAAGAGUCUUUGCCAUUGAUUCAGUGUUGCUGCAGGGCUUCAGGCAGCUCAGUUUCAUGAAAGUCAGUGCCAUGCCAAACAUUGAAAGGUGCUGCUGCAAAUGUCUGCUCACUAAGGGCACCAAUUAACUUCCCAUAAGAAGUUAGUUAACUACUCCAACCAUAAGAAAACACCUAGCAUGGGAAAUUAAAUGACAUUUCCAGCAAUCUUCUAGGAUGAUUCGAGAAUCACAGCUCCCAGAGAACCCUAAACAACUUUCCUUAUAAUCAAGAAUGUCUAUAUAAUCAAGAAUUUUUGAAAAUCAUUCCAUAUAAUAUAAAUCAGCCAAAUUUCUAGAAUAAAGAUUAAUGAAUGAAUUAAAAGAAAUACCUCUAGCUACUGGAAUACAUCUUGGUCCUUGUGCCUAAUAUGUUCAUUUACA
This is a long non-coding RNA of Oxyura jamaicensis (ruddy duck), 465 nucleotides long. RefSeq lists it as uncharacterized. The transcript has 3 exons. Lineage: Eukaryota; Metazoa; Chordata; Aves; Anseriformes; Anatidae. The record is from RefSeq and is a predicted model, not a curated record.